GGCCGAGUAGGUGUUUUCUACCCCGCCCCCGGGCACGCAGUGAGGGCGGAGGCUGCCGGAAAGCUCGGCCAGCGCCGGGCGCGGGGGAUCGAUGACUCGGCCGGUGGGCACGGCCACCUGGGUGAGGGGCAGCGGAGGGAGGGGGCGGCGGAGCGCCGAUGUCAUGGAUGGGCUCGGAGGGCCUGGCGGGAGGGGGGCGCCAGUGUUCAGGGCCGUUUUGGUGGCUAGGCGGGAUUGGCCGGAGCCCCGGUGAUCGCGCUCGCCUCGCCGACCGCCAUUUCACAUCCUGCAGAGAAGGCGGGGGCAGCCGCGGAAACGGCUUUUUACAAGGUUCACCAGCAUCCUGUGCUUGUGAGGCAUUAUGCAGACUGUAUGCAAACUGGGUAGUAAGCAAGAAGACAAACAGAUUGCCUCCUCUGCUUGCAGUUACAGGGAGAAGCAAAACUUUGAAAAAACAACUCUCAACUCUUCCACUUCCAUAAAUUAGCAGUUGGGACUUUCCUGGUGGUCCAGUGGUAAAGAAUCCGCCUUCCAAUGCAGGGAACGUGGGUUUGAUCCCUGGUUGGGGAACGAAGAUCCUACAUGCCUCAGGGAAACUAAGCCCAUGCACCACAACUACUGAACCCACGCACCUCAACUAGAGAGACUGUGUGCUGCAAACUACAGAGCCCAUGCUCUCUGGAGCCCGGGUGCCACAACUAGAGAGAAGCCUGUGUGCCGCAGCAGAAAGAUCCCGCAUGCCGCAAUGAAGAAAGAUCCCGCAUGCCACAAAGGCCCGAUGCAGCCAAAAAUAAAAUAAUUAAUUAAUUAAUUAAUAUUUUUUAAAAAGAGAGAUCUUUUUAAAAUAAAUAAAUAAAUAAAUUUCAGGUCAAAGGUCACUUCCUCAGGGAAGCCUUUCCAAGCUAUAUAUUUGAUUAUGGUUCUCUGUUACACACUCUAAUUGUACUAUGUUUCUUUUUUUCCAGAGCACUUACCUGUGGUUGCAAUAAUCCAUUCAUUUGUGUUUUAUUUGAUUAAUUUCUCUACCUGCCUUGGACUAGAAUACUGCAAUCAUUAUCUGAAUAAGCAGUGAUUAUAAUGCUGUUAUAAACACAGGCCAGUUAACGUGAUCUCAUUCAUAUCACUGACAAGAUGGGUUAAAGCUUGAGGCUGAAAUACAAUUAGUCCAAAAAUACUUAUGUACCAGGUAUUAUGCUAGGUGCUGGGAAUAUAGAAGUGAGAAUGACAGGCAUGAUUUCAGCCUUCAUGCUAAUAGUCUAGUGCAGGGUUUGGCAAACAUUUCCUGUGAAGGGACAGAUAAAUUUUAGGCUUAUCAGGCCAUAUGGUCUCUCUCACAACUACUCAACUUUGCCAUUGAAACACAAAAGCAAUCAUCAACAAUACAUAUAGGAAAGAGUGUCUGGGUUCCAAUAAAACGUUAUUUAAAAAACAGGCGGGGGGACUGGGUUUGAUCCAUGGACUAUUGUUUACUGACCCCUGGUCUAGUGGACAAGACAGCCAUUAAACAGAUCAUUUGAGAUGACAAAUACUUCAAAAGAAAAGGACAGGGUGACAUAAAGUCACAUGGCAGAGCUGUCCAACUUCGUCUAGAGAGAAGAAUAAAGACUUUCUUGAAGAAUAUGACUUUAAGCUAAUAUUUAAAGAGGAAGAGGAGUUACCCGGAUAAAAGUAAGGGCAACAGGCUUGAUGAAGAUCUAAAGCAUGGAAAGAGCGAGAAUAGAAAUAAAUUCAUUCUUAAACUUGGCGAUUGAUACGGAGAGGGAGAUGAAAUUGUGUAAGGAUAGAGUACAGAGUGAAAAGGCAAACUAAGAGUGUUGAAAAAAUUUCAGAACCUAGUACUUCCCUAGAGGAAGAGAUGCCAGCAGGAAAGACUCAGAAGGAAUGAUCGGUGAGGUGUAGCAGUAGCAGGACAUUUAAGACCUUCCAUCUUGUGACCUAAAUGGGAAGGAAAUCCAAAAAAGAGGGGAUAUAUGUAUAUGUACAGCUGAUUCACUUUUGCUGUGCAGUAGAAACUAACACAACAUUGUAAAGCAACUAUACUCCAAUAAAAAUUUAAAAAUAAAUAAAAGGUGAAUAGUUUGUAUAAAAAGAAAAGACCUUCCAUUUUGUGUGUUGGAUAUGUAAGUUGGGAGAUACCAGCCUAAAGGCUGGGAACCUCUGAGAACUGGUACACGUUCUGAAGGACUAGAUAGAUAGAUAGAUAGAUAUAAAAGAAUAGACCUGAGGACUGACAAAGUGUGAAUGGUAGGGUAGAAAAUGAAGAGGUAGUGAAGGAAUCAGAAAUAAUAGAUAGGAACACAUCACUGGUAUAUAGUAGGUGCUCAAUAAUGUUUUGAUAAGUGAAUGGAAGGAUAACAGUAUAAUUUAAAAUCAAAGCACCCAAGAGGGAAAGGGUUUCAGUAACAGGUUGACCUAUAGUUUCACAUGCUUAAAAGAGCUAUUGCUCAAGGCUAGUUUCCUUGACUGUCUGAGAAAGGUUGCGGGUAAGGACUCAGUUACUUUUGAUGCCCUAGUGCAGUAUAAGCCUGACCUCUAAUUCCUUCCUCUAAGGAAAGCUGACCUGGCUCUUUUCUUCCCUGAAGAUUUCAAUGAGUAGGAAUAGGGACCUUCCUGUGUCAGUACAUGUUCAAACUAAAAAUAUAAAAUUAGAAUAGGAGCAAGAUUUUUCAUAGAUUGCAAUGACACAAGGUCAACUGUUUUCUCUUGGUCAUUUAUAUUAAACAUGUAUUUUAUUACUUAAUUCUAAACAUUUUGUAUUGCUGUUUUAACUUUUUAUUAACUUCUUGUUGAUAUCUAUAAAGUCCUGUGUCAGAUGCUGUGGGUGAUUCAAAAAAAUGUAAGACAUAGCUCUGGGCUAAAGUAUUAUGUAACUGACAAGUAAAUUGUAAGUUUCUUGA
Molecule: RNA transcript, 2897 nt
Organism: Balaenoptera acutorostrata (minke whale)
Lineage: Eukaryota; Metazoa; Chordata; Mammalia; Artiodactyla; Balaenopteridae
Gene name: paired mesoderm homeobox protein 2B-like
Exons: 4
Source: RefSeq, a predicted model, not a curated record